GAUCAUGGCUCAGGAUGAACGCUAGCUACAGGCUUAACACAUGCAAGUCGAGGGGAAACGACAUCGAAAGCUUGCUUUUGAUGGGCGUCGACCGGCGCACGGGUGGGUAACUCGUAUCCAACCUGCCCAUCACUUGGGAAUAACCUUGCGAAAGUAAGACUAAUGCCCAAUGAUAUCCCACGAAGGCAUCCGAAUGGGAUUAAAGAUUUAUCGGUGAUGGAUGGGGAUGCGUCUGAUUAG
This 240-nucleotide ribosomal RNA is filed under the name uncultured bacterium. RNAcentral describes it as "partial 16S ribosomal RNA". It matches the Rfam family "Bacterial small subunit ribosomal RNA", at positions 15 to 244 of the family's 1533-position model. The record is from RNAcentral.